GAUGAACGCUGGCGGCGUGCCUAAUACAUGCAAGUCGAGCGAACAGACGAGGAGCUUGCUCCUCUGAUGUUAGCGGCGGACGGGUGAGUAACACGUGGAUAACCUACCUAUAAGACUGGGAUAACUUCGGGAAACCGGAGCUAAUACCGGAUAACAUGUUGAACCGCAUGGUUCAACAGUGAAAGACGGUCUUGCUGUCACUUAUAGAUGGAUCCGCGCCGCAUUAGCUAGUUGGUAAGGUAACGGCUUACCAAGGCAACGAUGCGUAGCCGACCUGAGAGGGUGAUCGGCCACACUGGAACUGAGACACGGUCCAGACUCCUACGGGAGGCAGCGGUAGGGAAUCUUCCGCAAUGGGCGAAAGCCUGACGGAGCAACGCCGCGUGAGUGAAGAAGGUCUUCGGAUCGUAAAACUCUGUUAUUAGGGAAGAACAAAUGUGUAAGUAACUAUGCACGUCUUGACGGUACCUAAUCAGAAAGCCACGGCUAACUACGUG
This 497-nucleotide ribosomal RNA is filed under the name uncultured bacterium. RNAcentral describes it as "partial 16S ribosomal RNA". It matches the Rfam family "Bacterial small subunit ribosomal RNA", at positions 28 to 507 of the family's 1533-position model. The record is from RNAcentral.